UGCGCAGGCGGCUUGGAAAGAACGGUGUGAAAUCCCGGGGCUCAACCCCGGAACUGCACUAUUAACUAUCAAGCUAGAGUAUGUCAGAGGGGGGUGGAAUUCCGCGUGUAGCAGUGAAAUGCGUAGAUAUGCGGAGGAACACCAAUGGCGAAGGCAGCCCCCUGGGAUAAUACUGACGCUCAGGCACGAAAGCGUGGGUAGCAAACA
RNAcentral lists this ribosomal RNA (207 nucleotides) under uncultured Oligella sp. Its description in RNAcentral is "partial 16S ribosomal RNA". It matches the Rfam family "Bacterial small subunit ribosomal RNA", at positions 568 to 774 of the family's 1533-position model. The record is from RNAcentral. Lineage: Bacteria; Pseudomonadati; Pseudomonadota; Betaproteobacteria; Burkholderiales; Alcaligenaceae.